Molecule: long non-coding RNA, 269 nt
Filed under: Brassica napus (rape)
Lineage: Eukaryota; Viridiplantae; Streptophyta; Magnoliopsida; Brassicales; Brassicaceae
Description: long non-coding RNA (BNAP_LNC008579)
Source: RNAcentral
CACAAUUAUUAAGAAAAAGGAAACAUAAAUAAUUGUUAUUAAUGGUAAUCAAAAAUAAUAUUAUUAGUUCAUUAAAGGUAUCAGUGUAAUAAACCAAUGUAAAAGUUAACGUUAGCGCGACACGUAGAAAAUUGACUAACCAAAUAAUGUUAUAGAGAUAUGAUAACAACUCUUAUGUUAUUUUUUUUGGGCAAAUAGUUUUUUUUUUAAACGUAAACAUCUAAACUAAAUGAAAUUAGACGGCAGAGCAUAACAUAAUACACUACUCA